AACGCACAUUGCGCCCCCUGGUAUUCCGGGGGGCAUGCCUGUUCGAGCGUCAUUUCACCACUCAAGCCUCGCUUGGUAUUGGGCAACGCGGUCCGCCGCGUGCCUCAAAUCGACCGGCUGGGUCUUCUGUCCCCUAAGCGUUGUGGAAACUAUUCGCUAAAGGGUGUUCGGGAGGCUACGCCGUAAAACAACCCCAUUUCUAAGGUUGACCUCGGAUCAGGUAGGGAUACCCGCUGAACUUAAGCAUAUCAAUAAGCGGAGGAUCUCAGACUGCCAUGAUCUACUGUGAAUCAUCGAAUCUUUGAACGCACAUUGCGCCCCCUGGUAUUCCGGGGGGCAUGCCUGUUCGAGCGUCAUUUCACCACUCAAGCCUCGCUUGGUAUUGGGCAACGCGGUCCGCCGCGUGCCUCAAAUCGACCGGCUGGGUCUUCUGUCCCCUAAGCGUUGUGGAAACUAUUCGCUAAAGGGUGUUCGGGAGGCUACGCCGUAAAACAACCCCAUUUCUAAGGUUGACCUCGGAUCAGGUAGGGAUACCCGCUGAACUUAA
RNAcentral lists this unclassified non-coding RNA (547 nucleotides) under uncultured Cladosporium. Its description in RNAcentral is "partial contains 5.8S ribosomal RNA, internal transcribed spacer 2, and large subunit ribosomal RNA". The stretch from base 248 to 356 matches the Rfam family "5.8S ribosomal RNA". The record is from RNAcentral. Lineage: Eukaryota; Fungi; Ascomycota; Dothideomycetes; Cladosporiales; Cladosporiaceae.